GUUGGAAAUCAUUCAUAGAGUGUAAAGGCAUAAGGGAGCUUGACUGCGAGACCUACAAGUCGAGCAGGGUCGAAAGACGGACUUAGUGAUCCGGUGGUUCCGCAUGGAAGGGCCAUCGCUCAACGGAUAAAAGCUACCCCGGGGAUAACAGGCUUAUCUCCCCCAAGAGUUCACAUCGACGGGGAGGUUUGGCACCUCGAUGUCGGCUCAUCGCAUCCUGGGGCUGUAGUCGGUCCCAAGGGUUGGGCUGUUCGCCCAUUAAAGCGGUACGCGAGCUGGGUUCAGAACGUCGUGAGACAGUUCGGUCCCUAUCCGUCGUGGGCGUAGGAAAUUUGAGAGGAGCUGUCCUUAGUACGAGAGGACCGGGAUGGACAUACCUCUGGUGUACCAGUUGUCGUGCCAACGGCAUAGCUGGGUAGCUAUGUGUGGACGGGAUAAGUGCUGAAAGCAUCUAAGCAUGAAGCCCCCCUCAAGAUGAGAUUUCCCAACUUCGGUUAUAAGAUCCCUCAAAGAUGAUGAGGUUAAUAGGUUCGAGGUGGAAGCAUGGUGACAUGUGGAGCUGACGAAUACUAAUCGAUCGAAGACUUAAUCAA
This 593-nucleotide ribosomal RNA is filed under the name Klebsiella pneumoniae. Its description in RNAcentral is "partial 23S ribosomal RNA". It matches the Rfam family "Bacterial large subunit ribosomal RNA", at positions 2330 to 2925 of the family's 2925-position model. Lineage: Bacteria; Pseudomonadati; Pseudomonadota; Gammaproteobacteria; Enterobacterales; Enterobacteriaceae. RNAcentral also lists the same sequence under 1 other name. The record is from RNAcentral.